AACCGGCGAACGGGUGCGUAACACGUGAACAACCUGCCCUCGUGUGGGGGAUAGCCAUGCUAACGCGUGGGUAAUACCGCAUACGUUCCUCUGGGGGAGUCCCUGGGGGAGGAAAGCUCCGGCGCACGGGAGGGGUUCGCGGCCUAUCAGCUAGUUGGCGGGGUAAUGGCCCACCAAGGCGACGACGGGUAGCUGGUCUGAGAGGAUGGCCAGCCACAUUGGGACUGAGAGACGGCCCAG
This 240-nucleotide ribosomal RNA is filed under the name uncultured bacterium. Its description in RNAcentral is "partial 16S ribosomal RNA". It matches the Rfam family "Bacterial small subunit ribosomal RNA", at positions 93 to 334 of the family's 1533-position model. The record is from RNAcentral.